Molecule: long non-coding RNA, 2453 nt
Organism: Orcinus orca (killer whale)
Lineage: Eukaryota; Metazoa; Chordata; Mammalia; Artiodactyla; Delphinidae
Exons: 3
Source: RefSeq, a predicted model, not a curated record
AGAGCGGUAGCAGGGGACUGGCAAACUGCCAGGCCAAAGGUUUUCCCAAGGUAAAAUGGGAUGUGAGAGCGAUCCCAGCCCGGCUCAGGCAGACACCAAGUUGGGAAGCAGGGGCCAAAGGGGCGGAGGGCGCAAAGGACACGGUUGUGCGGAGGACCCCGCCGCAGUCGCCGGGCUGAGUGCUAAGCGGCCGCGCUACCCCAGAGCCGUCACUGGAGAUGUGGGUACAACGAUGACUACUGGGCGCGAGUCAGCUGAGGGGGUGUCUCCGAAGGGACACUUUGAGGAUACAGUUGGGGUGGAUCUGGGGUGACGCCCAAAAGGAUGGUUGGUCCUGGGUGUUUGAGGGUUCGGUGGAUGGCAGAGCUGAAGGGUCAGGACAGGACUGAAGACGAGGUCGGUCCAGAGGGUCGAGGAAGACCGGAGGACCAUUGAUAUUUUAUCUUCCCGAUUCUCCAAAGACAGAUAGGCUUCACUGUGCUUCCUGCUCCAGUCCUGGAAGAAUGCAUUGUCCAGUUCUCGAUGCUGCACUGUGCGCGGCACGUGGGAUCUUAGCUCCCCGGCCAGGGAUCAAACACGUGCCUUCUGCAGUGAAGGUGAAGUCUUAACCACUGGACUGCCAGGGAAGUCCCCAUAAUAACUUAAUAGUGAGCUUCAAAAUAAUUCACUUUGGCAUUAUAAGAGCAAAGAGAAACAGAAUUUAUCAUCUUGAUAUUUUGUUCUUAGUUCUCUGUGUAACUCCUGAGUACUUCAUGUUAGCUGUCAGGUAAAAUUAAUAUAAGGCAGUAUCUGCAGAGAAUGCUACUCUUAAACCUCUGUACUGUUGGCAGGUGAAGCUAUAAAAAGGAAGGCUGAGAGAAGAUCUCAAGAGACUUCUUAAGAAGGAAAUAUCUCCAUACUGUUUUCCAUAGUGGUUUUACCAGUUUAUAUUCCCACCAACAGUGUAUGAGGGUUCCCUUUUCUCCACAUCCUCUCCAACCUUUGUUAUUUGUCUUUUUGAUAAUUAAAAAUAGAAUCACCAUAUGAUCCAGAUCCAGCUAUUCCACUUCUGGGUAUUUAUCCAAAGAAUAUGAAAUCACUAAUUCAAAAAGAUACAUGCACCCCUGUGUUCACUGCAGCAUUAUUUACAACAGCCAAGAUAUGGAAGCAACCUAAAUGUCCAUUGACGAAUGGAAUACUACACAGCCACAAAAAGUAGAAAUCUUGCCAUUUGUGAUGAGAUGGAUGGACCUUGAGGGUAUUACGCUACGUGAAAUAAAUCAAAUAAAGAAAGACAAAACACCAAACGAUUUCACUUAUAUGUGGAAUCUAAAAAACAAACAAAUGAACAAACAAAACACAAACUCAUAGAUACAGAGAACAGAUUGGUGGUUACUAGAGGAGAAAGGGGUUGGGGGUUGGGUGAAAUAGGUGAAGGGGGUCAAUUGUAUGGUGAUGGGUGAUAACUAGACAAAGUGGUGAUCACUUUGAAGUGAAUACAAAAAUCAAAUUAUAAUGGUGUACCCCUGAAACUUAUAUAAUGUCAUCUACCAAUUUUACCUCAAUAAAUAAAUAAAUAAAUAAAUAUUCAGCAAUUUAAAAUAUACAUCAGCCAUUUUAUAAAUUUAUUUAUUUUAUUUUUGGCUGUGUUGGGUCUUUGUUUCUGUGCGAGGGUUUUCUCUAAUUGCAGCGAGCAGGGGCCACUCUUCAUCGUGGUGCGCAGGCCUCUCACUAUUGCGGCCUCUUGUUGCGGAGCACAGGCUCCAGACACGCAGGCUCAGUAGUUAUGGUUCACGGGCCCAGUUGCUCCGCGGCAUGUGGGAUCUUCCCAGACCAGGGCUUGAACCCGUGUCCCCUGCAUUGGCAGGCAGAUUCUCAACCACUGCGCCACCAGGGAAGCCCCAACAUCAGCCAUUUAAAAAAAAAAAGAAGGAAGAGAUAUGGCAGAAACUGAUUUUGCAUGAUACUGAUAAGAGGACUUGGCAAGCUUAACAAUACACUGACAGAUUCCUAAUCCAUUCAACGAAUACUUUAGCAGCCUGUGUUAACAUUAUUUUUUACUUAUCCCUUACUAGUAUGUUUUUUUUUUCUCUUGUGGUGGGAAAACUGGGGCCCUGGGGCCAAAUUAUGACUGCUGCUUGUUUUUGUGUGACGUGUUUGCUGGAUUCCUGUCUUAGAGGGCUUGGAGCUGUGCUUCUGCAUGAGUGGGUUUCUGGAACUUGACUAUUAUAGGUAUAUCCUCAGUGGUUAAUAGAUUGUAGUGUUUUAGGCUCUACUAUGGGUAUCUGUUAAGGUUGGAAGCAGGUCAAAAGAUCUGAAAUAGUUUUAUGACCCCUCUUUGAAGCCAGUCUGUGGAAUAUAUGCUCAUUGAGAAGAUACCCUAAUUCAUGAGUUCUGGAAGGUUGAAAGACAAGUUUUCAGAGUAGCCCAUAAAACACACACACACACACACACACACACACACACACACACAC